Molecule: transfer RNA, 89 nt
Filed under: plant metagenome
Description: tRNA-Ser-TGA
Rfam family: tRNA
About the family: Transfer RNA (tRNA) molecules are approximately 80 nucleotides in length. Their secondary structure includes four short double-helical elements and three loops (D, anti-codon, and T loops). Further hydrogen bonds mediate the characteristic L-shaped molecular structure. tRNAs have two regions of fundamental functional importance: the anti-codon, which is responsible for specific mRNA codon recognition, and the 3' end, to which the tRNAs corresponding amino acid is attached (by aminoacyl-tRNA synthetases). tRNAs cope with the degeneracy of the genetic code in two manners: having more than one tRNA (with a specific anti-codon) for a particular amino acid; and 'wobble' base-pairing, i.e. permitting non-standard base-pairing at the 3rd anti-codon position.
Source: RNAcentral
GGAGGCGUGGCAGAGUGGUCGAAUGCAGCGGACUUGAACUCCGCCGAACCCAAUAGGUUCCGUCCGUUCGAAUCGGACCGUCUCCGCCA